Non-coding RNA from Microcebus murinus (gray mouse lemur), 508 nucleotides. NCBI's taxonomy places the organism in Eukaryota, Metazoa, Chordata, Mammalia, Primates, Cheirogaleidae. The record is from RefSeq and is a predicted model, not a curated record.
CAGCCACAAGCUGGUCAAGAGGAAGCCGAAAGGCUGAGAGGAAAGCAGAGGGAGAAGUGAGUAGCGAAAGGGAAGAAGCGGCAGAGUGAGCGAGAAACAGGCUGAGGGACUGAGGCACAAGUGAGGCGGUUGCUGUGGGACAACAGGAGUGUCUGCUGCUGGCAGAACAGGGCUAGACAGACUCGAAUUCGUCUGUGGGGCUGCAGGACCCUCCUGCUUGGAUUCUGCACUUCUCAAGACUUAUCAUCAAAUGCCUCCAUGUGACAGGACCAAGCCUCCUGACCUCAGCCUUCUGGUAAAGUGUAUGGAAGCUCCCACAAUCUAGCUUCAACAUGAAAAUGGAGAACAUCUGGACUUCAUGAGCGGCUAAAAGCAGGAACUGAAACCAAGAACUGGAGAGCAUCUGGGAAUAAGAAGUUAAGGAGAGAAGGUAAAGUGUUUUACAGAAAAUUGUUCUUCCUGUACAUUUACCAGUGAAGUGGAUGCACUGUUUGCAGAUGCCAGUCUG